RNAcentral lists this ribosomal RNA (1238 nucleotides) under uncultured bacterium. Its description in RNAcentral is "partial 16S ribosomal RNA". It matches the Rfam family "Bacterial small subunit ribosomal RNA", at positions 147 to 1375 of the family's 1533-position model. The record is from RNAcentral.
AAAAAAAAAAUUUUUUUUUUGGGGGCACCCUUUAAAAAUAUUUUAAAAAAUUUUUGGGGGGGUUUUAAAGAGAGGGCCCAUGCGUUUUUUUUUAAAUUUUUUGGGGUGGGGUAAAAAAGUUUCCCCAAGAAUUUGAAAAGAAUAGGGGGCCGGAAAAGGGGGAUUCCCCCCACACUGGGUAUUGAGACCCGGCCCAGAUUCCUACCGGGAGGCAGCAGUGAGGAUUAUUGCACCAUGGAGGAAACUUUGAAGCAGCCAAUGCCGGGUGCAGGAUGACGGCCCUUAUGGGUUGUAAACUGCUUUUUUACAAGAAGAAAACCUUGGUACGUGUACCAACUUGACGGUAUUGUAAGAAUAAGCACCGGCUAACUCCGUGCCAGCAGCCGCGGUAAUACGGAGGGUGCAAGCGUAUUCCGGAUUUAUUAGGUUAAAGGGUUCGCAGGCGGAAUUUAAGUCAGUGGUGAAAGCCUACAGCUCAACUGUAGAACUGCCAUUGAAACUGAUAUUCUUGAGUAUAGAUGAAGUGGGCGGAAUAUGUCAUGUAGCGGUGAAAUGCAUAGAUAUGACAUGGAACACCAAUUGCGAAGGCAGCUCACUAAACUAUUACUGACGCUCAUGAACGAAAGCGUGGGGAGCGAACAGGAUUAGAUACCCUGGUAGUCCACGCCGUAAACUAUGAUCACUAGAUGUUGGCGAUAUACUGUCAGUGUUUUAGAGAAAUCGUUAAGUGAUCCACCUGGGGAGUACGUUCGCAAGAAUGAAACUCAAAGGAAUUGACGGGGGCCCGCACAAGCGGAGGAACAUGUGGUUUAAUUCGAUGAUACGCGAGGAACCUUACCAAGGCUUAAAUGUAGAUUGACAGAUUGUGAAAACAGUUUUUCUUCGGACAAUUUACAAGGUGCUGCAUGGUUGUCGUCAGCUCGUGCCGUGAGGUGUCGGGUUAAGUCCCAUAACGAGCGCAACCCCUAUUUUUAGUUGCCAGCGAGUAAUGUCGGGAACUCUAGAAAGACUGCCUGUGUAAACAGUGAGGAAGGUGGGGAUGACGUCAAAUCAUCACGGCCCUUAUGUCUUGGGCUACACACGUGUUACAAUGGUUACUACAGUGGGCUGCCAUCUGGCAACAGAGAGCAAAUCCAUAAAGGUAAUCCCAGUUCGGAUCGGAGUCUGCAACUCGACUCUGUGAAGUUGGAUUCGCUAGUAAUCGAUAUCAGCAAUAUAUUGAAUGCGGCUGUCUUUCC